This 492-nucleotide ribosomal RNA is filed under the name uncultured bacterium. RNAcentral describes it as "partial 16S ribosomal RNA". It matches the Rfam family "Bacterial small subunit ribosomal RNA", at positions 29 to 507 of the family's 1533-position model. The record is from RNAcentral.
AUUGAACGCUGGCGGCAUGCUUUACACAUGCAAGUCGAACGGUAACAGGCCUUCGGGUGCUGACGAGUGGCGAACGGGUGAGUAAUGCAUCGGAACGUACCCAGAGGUGGGGGAUAACGCAGCGAAAGCUGUGCUAAUACCGCAUGUGAUCUGAGGUUGAAAGCGGGGGACCGAGCAGCAAUGUUUGGCCUCGCGCCUUUGGAGCGGCCGAUGUCGGAUUAGCUAGUUGGUGGGGUAAAGGCCUACCAAGGCGACGAUCCGUAGCUGGUCUGAGAGGACGACCAGCCACACUGGGACUGAGACACGGCCCAGACUCCUACGGGAGGCAGCAGUGGGGAAUUUUGGACAAAGGGCGCAAGCCUGAUCCAGCAAUGCCGCGUGCGGGAAGAAGGCCUUCGGGUUGUAAAGCGCUUUUGGCAGGAACGAAACGGUGUCCGCUAAUACCGGGCGCUAAUGACGGUACCUGCAGAAUAAGCACCGGCUAACUACGUG